Molecule: microRNA precursor, 103 nt
Filed under: Marmota monax (woodchuck)
Lineage: Eukaryota; Metazoa; Chordata; Mammalia; Rodentia; Sciuridae
Source: RNAcentral
AGUGGGAUAACUGGGUUAAAUGGUAGUUCUAUUCCAAUUUUUCUAAGCAAUCUCCAUACUGCUUUCCAGAGUGGUUGCACCAAUUUCGUUCCCACCAAGCAAU